RNAcentral lists this ribosomal RNA (119 nucleotides) under Carlito syrichta (Philippine tarsier). The record is from RNAcentral. Lineage: Eukaryota; Metazoa; Chordata; Mammalia; Primates; Tarsiidae.
CAGGGUGGCCAUAUCACCCUGAACAUACCUGAUCUCAUCUGAUCUCAGAAGAGGUGACAGUGAAUAAUGCAGCGGUUCUCAACCCUAAGAAGUUAAGGACACUUAGGGUGUUGCCGUCA